RNAcentral lists this ribosomal RNA (255 nucleotides) under uncultured bacterium. Its description in RNAcentral is "partial 16S ribosomal RNA". It matches the Rfam family "Bacterial small subunit ribosomal RNA", at positions 524 to 777 of the family's 1533-position model. The record is from RNAcentral.
UACGUAGGGGGCAAGCGUUGUCCGGAUUUAUUGGGCGUAAAGAGCGUGUAGGCGGCCGUACAGGUCAGCUGUGAAAACUCGAGGCUCAACCUCGAGACGUCGGUUGAAACCGUACGGCUAGAGUCCGGAAGAGGAGAGUGGAAUUCCCGGUGUAGCGGUGAAAUGCGCAGAUAUCGGGAAGAACACCCGUGGCGAAGGCGGCUCUCUGGGACGGUACUGACGCUGAGACGCGAAAAGCGUGGGGAGCGAACGAGG